UGUAAGCGUAUACCAAAGUUGUUGCAGUUAAAACGCUCGUAGUCGGAAUUUGGCAGUUCCGGAUGUGUGCACGUCGUGUGCGCACUUCGCGGGGAUUGCUUUUGUGGUCUUGCGUAGGAUGAGGCACUUUUAUUAGUGAACGUCCUCACGCAACCACUUUUUACUGUGAGAAAAUCAGAGUGCUCAAAGCAGGCAUUUGCCGUGAAUGUAUUAGCAUGGAAUAAUAGAAUAGGACUUGGUUCUAUUUUGUUGGUUUGUUGGGACUGAGUAAUGAUUAAGAGGGACAGUUGGGGGCAUUUGUAUUUCGGUGCUAGAGGUGAAAUUCUUAGAUUACCGAGAGACAAACUGCUGCGAAAGCGUCUGCCAAGGAUGUUUUCAUUGA
RNAcentral lists this ribosomal RNA (382 nucleotides) under uncultured eukaryote. RNAcentral's name for it is "partial 18S ribosomal RNA". It matches the Rfam family "Eukaryotic small subunit ribosomal RNA", at positions 592 to 976 of the family's 1831-position model. The record is from RNAcentral.